Penaeus monodon (black tiger shrimp) is the source of this 315-nucleotide long non-coding RNA. RefSeq lists it as uncharacterized. Lineage: Eukaryota; Metazoa; Arthropoda; Malacostraca; Decapoda; Penaeidae. The transcript has 2 exons. The record is from RefSeq and is a predicted model, not a curated record.
GGGAAAUGGGCCGAUUUUUUUAAGACGAAAAAUGACAUCAAUGUCGAGAUGUUAACCAAUGUAGUAACGACCAAGACGGGAAACGCAGUGAGCAACAGACAGGGCUGUAAGGAAUCGAUCGACUUAAACGCAGGGGAAACUUAUGUAUUUAUUCAGAAAAUGACGGAACCAAACUUAAGUGCACGUAUUCAGUUAAGGUAAGAAUUAUUCCCAAUGGGACUGUUAAAAAAAAAUGUUUUUUACUAUAUAUUAGAUAUGAGAAUGAUAUUGACCGUUUGUUUAAGAAUCAUAUGCUGAUGCAAAUUCAUUCCAAAA